GACGAACGCUGGCGGCGUGCCUAACACAUGCAAGUGGAGCGACGAACCGGGGCUUGCCCCGGGGCAGAGCCGCGAACGGGUGAGUAACACGUGGGUUACCUGCCCCGAUGACUGGGACAACCCGUCGAAAGACGGGCUAAUACCGGAUGUGCCCUUUGGGGGAAAGGAAGCUUCGGCCUCCGCAUCGGGAUGGGCCCGCGGCGCAUUAGCUUGUUGGUGGGGUAAUGGCUUACCAAGGCGACGAUGCGUAGCUGGUCUGAGAGGACGAUCAGCCACACUGGGACUGAGACACGGCCCAGACUCCUACGGGAGGCAGCAGUGGGGAAUCUUGCACAAUGCGCGAAAGCGUGAUGCAGCAACGCCGCGUGCGGGAAGAAGGCCUUAGGGUUGUAAACCGCUUUCAGUUGGGACGAAGCUUCAGUCGUUAAUAGCGGUUUGGAGUGACGGUACCUUCAGAAGAAGCGCCGGCUAACUACGUGCCAGCAGCCGCGGUAAUACGUAGGGCGCGAGCGUUGUCCGGAAUCAUUGGGCGUAAAGCGCGUGUAGGCGGCUGAGUAAGUCUGCUGUGAAAGUCCAGGGCUCAACCCUGGAAUGUCGGCGGAUACUGCUCAGCUGGAGUACGGGAGGGGCGAGUGGAAUUCCUGGUGUAGCGGUGGAAUGCGCAGAUAUCAGGAGGACACCUAUGGCGAAG
This 691-nucleotide ribosomal RNA is filed under the name uncultured Actinomycetes bacterium. RNAcentral's name for it is "bacterial SSU rRNA". It matches the Rfam family "Bacterial small subunit ribosomal RNA", at positions 28 to 720 of the family's 1533-position model. Lineage: Bacteria; Bacillati; Actinomycetota; Actinomycetes. The record is from RNAcentral.